AGACCCGAAACCCGGUGAUCUAGCCAUGGGCAGGUUGAAGGUUGGGUAACACUAACUGGAGGACCGAACCGACUAAUGUUGAAAAAUUAGCGGAUGACCUGUGGCUGGGGGUGAAAGGCCAAUCAAACCGGGAGAUAGCUGGUUCUCCCCGAAAGCUAUUUAGGUAGCGCCUCGUGAAUUCAUCUCCGGGGGUAGAGCACUGUUUCGGCUAGGGGGCCAUCCCGGCUUACCAACCCGAUGCAAACUGCGAAUACCGGAGAAUGUUAUCACGGGAGACACACGGCGGGUGCUAACGUCCGUCGUGAAGAGGGAAACAACCCAGACCGCCAGCUAAGGUCCCAAAGUCAUGGUUAAGUGGGAAACGAUGUGGGAAGGCCCAGACAGCCAGGAUGUUGGCUUAGAAGCAGCCAUCAUUUAAAGAAAGCGUAAUAGCUCACUGGUCGAGUCGGCCUGCGCGGAAGAUGUAACGGGGCUAAACCAUGCACCGAAGCUGCGGCAGCGACACUCAGGUGUUGUUGGGUAGGGGAGCGUUCUGUAAGCCUGUGAAGGUGGCCUGUGAGGGUUGCUGGAGGUAUCAGAAGUGCGAAUGCUGACAU
This 596-nucleotide ribosomal RNA is filed under the name Salmonella enterica. Its description in RNAcentral is "partial 23S ribosomal RNA". It matches the Rfam family "Bacterial large subunit ribosomal RNA", at positions 711 to 1303 of the family's 2925-position model. The record is from RNAcentral. Lineage: Bacteria; Pseudomonadati; Pseudomonadota; Gammaproteobacteria; Enterobacterales; Enterobacteriaceae. RNAcentral also lists the same sequence under 1 other name.